UAUUAAAAAAUUUAUCUAUUUGUAUUGUUAAAAACUGGCAUAGCUGAUAGAUAACGAAAAAGUGAUACGUGACAUGCCACAUGUACAUUAUGUUGAUAUACAAUUAUCAAUUUUUAACAGUAGAAUUUGAUGAAAUUUUUAAUA
Non-coding RNA from Gossypium hirsutum (cotton), 144 nucleotides. The record is from Rfam. Lineage: Eukaryota; Viridiplantae; Streptophyta; Magnoliopsida; Malvales; Malvaceae.